Molecule: ribosomal RNA, 254 nt
Filed under: uncultured bacterium
Lineage: Bacteria
Description: partial 16S ribosomal RNA
Rfam family: Bacterial small subunit ribosomal RNA
Source: RNAcentral
UACGGGGGGAGCAAGCGUUGUUCGGAUUUACUGGGCGUAAAGGGCGCGUAGGCGGCCACCGCAAGUCGACUGUGAAAUCUCCGGGCUUAACCCGGAAAGGUCAGCCGAUACUGCGGGGCUAGAGUGCAGAAGGGGCAACUGGAAUUCUCGGUGUAGCGGUGAAAUGCGUAGAUAUCGAGAGGCACACCUGCGGCGAAGGCGGGUUGCUGGGCUGACACUGACGCUGAUGUGCGAAAGCUAGGGGAGCGAACGGG